Equus caballus (horse) is the source of this 1042-nucleotide long non-coding RNA. The record is from Ensembl. Lineage: Eukaryota; Metazoa; Chordata; Mammalia; Perissodactyla; Equidae.
GAAGGCCUGUGCAUGAGGCAUUACCAUCCACGAGCUGCCUAGUGAUUGACACGCCUCCACGUGAUCAGCCAUGGCAAUGUGCUCUUCCCUUCCAGACUACUUAAAUUGUUUCGUGGUUCUAUUUUGUAUUUUUGUUUAUUGCCUACCUUUUCUUUCUUAGAGAAUUAUAUGAUAUUUUUAAGAAAUGGUGUUCUGUUCUCUCCUAUAAUUGAUGAGAUUCUUCUAUUCUGAAUACCGCAAUGCACCGUCGAGUUUUAAGGAACCAGCAUCAAGAAGAGCUGACAAUCAUCAGCUGGCAGCUCUCUUCAGGGAUUGCUCCCAGCUGAAGAGAUCUCCCCAUGCUCACGUGCUUCCUGGGGCAACCUGCAUCCAGUGACUCCCCCAUGCACAGAUAUGAAGACCAGGUGUUAUUUAUUCCCAAAAGCGUUCCUUAAUCACCUUCCUGAAUGCUUCCUUGCCAUCCCAGAGUCAGCUUCCUGAAAACGUCAGUCUGCAAUUGCUUCCAAUUCAAUUUCCCAGCUAAACUUCGAGUGUAUCCGGUUAGCCCCAAAUCCACUUCCAUCUCCCCGGUGCAUCACAUUCAUCUCUCUGCUGGAUCUUGGCCUUAACGUCCACCCCAUUCCAAUCAGUGCUCCUUUCUCCAGACAACAAGGACUUUCAAAGACGUUAAUCUAAUGAUGCUAAAACUUAAAAUUCCAUUAAAACUUGUUUUCAGUUUUCCAUUGCAUUUAAGAUCACGUCCAAUCUCCCUAACAUGGCUUUUCGUGAUCUGGUCCCCGAUUACAUUUCAAGGUUGUUCUGAAUCUUCUUUGUUCCUGUAGAAGCUCAUCUCCCCUUUCAAUUCCCUUUUUUGUUCCAGAUAUGAGAAACUUCUUUAAUUCUUUUAUAAAGUGACAUAACAUGCAAACCUAAUAUAAUAUAUUGUAAUGUCUAAAGAGGCUGACUCAGGAGGCUGUGGAAUCUACAUUUACACUAACUGAACCAUUUCAUCUGUAUGACUUCCAGGAGGUUAUUUACCUCCCUGAACCUCACUAUCUGUGUU